UGUUAAGUAAUAUAAUUUGUAUUAUGUGUGACUGUUAAUCACAAAAUCCUGAGUAAGGCUUAACAG
This 66-nucleotide transfer RNA is filed under the name Proales similis. Its description in RNAcentral is "tRNA-Asn". Lineage: Eukaryota; Metazoa; Rotifera; Eurotatoria; Ploima; Proalidae. The record is from RNAcentral.